CCUACGGGUGGCAGCAGUGAGGAAUAUUGGUCAAUGGACGAGAGUCUGAACCAGCCAAGUAGCGUGAAGGAUGACUGCCCUAUGGGUUGUAAACUUCUUUUAUAUGGGAGUAAAAUGUUCCACGUGUGGCAUUUUGUAUGUACCAUAUGAAUAAGGAUCGGCUAACUCCGUGCCAGCAGCCGCGGUAAUACGGAGGAUGCGAGCGUUAUCCGGAUUGAUUGGGUUUAAAGGGAGCGUAGGUGGAUUGUUAAGUCAGUUGUGAAAGUUUGCGGCCCAACCGUAGAAUUGCAGUUGAAACUGGCAGGCUUGAGUAUAGUAGAGGUGGGCGGAAUUCGUGGUGUAGCGGUGAAAUGCUUAGAUAUCACGAAGAACUCCGAUGGCGAAGGCAGCUCACUGGACUACAACUGACACUGAGGCUCGAAAGUGUGGGGAGCAAACAGGAUUAGAUACCCCAGUAGUC
RNAcentral lists this ribosomal RNA (460 nucleotides) under uncultured bacterium. RNAcentral's name for it is "partial 16S ribosomal RNA". It matches the Rfam family "Bacterial small subunit ribosomal RNA", at positions 338 to 795 of the family's 1533-position model. The record is from RNAcentral.